Long non-coding RNA from Ictalurus punctatus (channel catfish), 1664 nucleotides. RefSeq lists it as uncharacterized. NCBI's taxonomy places the organism in Eukaryota, Metazoa, Chordata, Actinopteri, Siluriformes, Ictaluridae. The record is from RefSeq and is a predicted model, not a curated record. The transcript has 2 exons.
CGCUCAUAUGCUUGAGAGAAGAGACUUCAGUACACGUACUUACUGUAGGCUACUGAACAUCUCAGCACGUGAUGCAUUCCUAUCAGUGUUUCCAGACUCACAGAGCUGUUACAUGCUGUUUGUGGACACCUGAACAUCACACCUAAACUGCUGCUACAAAAUUGAAAGCACACACUUGUAUAGGAUGUGUUUGUAUGCUGUAGCAUGACAAUUUCCCUUCACUGGAACUAAUAGGCCAAACAUGUUCCAGCAUGACAGUUCCCUUGUGCACAAAACGAGGUCCAUGAAGACAUGGUUUGCCAAGGUCAGAGUGGAAGAACUUGAAUGGGCUGCACAGAGCCCUGACCUCAACCACAGUGAACACCUUUGAGAUGAAUUGGAACACUGACUUCACCCCCUCACCUGACCUCACCAAUUCAUAGGACGCCAUUCACAAUUGAAAGUCACGCAGAGUUGUGUUUGUGACAUAAAAACAUAUUUCUAAAAAAAAUUUAUUCGUAAAUCUCAUUUUAUUGAUUUGUGAAUUUAAUUCAUUUUUGUGAAACUCCUCACAUAUAUUUGAGGAUCUCAUUCUGUUUAUUUGUGAAUUUGAUUAAUUUUUGUGAAUCUCGCUACAUUUAUUUGUGGCUCGUAAUCUAUGUAUUUGGAAAUAUGAAACAAUUCUAACCCCAUAUUUAUAUGUUAGAUUAGUUUCUGUGUCGUAGAAUAGUCCAGUAAAGAUUUGUCUGUUUUUAAACACACGUCUUAUUGUUUAGAAGGUCCAUUGCCUUGAAUUGUCGCUCUUGCUACAUGCUCUUCAAAUAAUGUUUCACUAUAUUUAGGAUAUUAUUGACGGUGGCCACGGAGGUAAUGUCUAAAAUAUCAUCAUCAAAAAAUUAUCACUGGACAAAUAGCUGAUCAGAAAUUCUACAUUAGCCAAAUUUCCCCUUUCUAGCUGAUCUGCUAGUCUGUCCUGCAUAUUUGGUGGAGAAUACAGGUAGCUCAUUUUAAACAGUUUAUUUCCGUUGCACAUAAUUGUGGAGAAUGAUGAAGAAUUUAACCCAAACAGCCAAUAUUCCCUAAAGUUGCCUGAGGAAAAUAGGAAAUAGAUAAAUGAAUAUACGGGUGCUAAGGUGCUGGAAUUGUUUCAAUAAGGAAAUUGAGCAGUUGAAAAAUAAAAUGAAUUGUCAAAAUUUUUUACAUUAUUAUUAUUAUUAUUAUUAUUAUUAUUAUUAUUAUUAUUAUUAUUAUUAUUAUUAUUUUACUAAUUAGAUCAAUGCCUAUUAAUCACUUUUAAUUUCCAUAUAAAAUCAUGGUCUUCUGAUGUGGUAAAAGCACUGAACAUAUGAUUCCAACCAUUUUUUCUUGGUUUGUGUGCUUAUAUUUUUAAUGGCAUUACUGGGUUUUCAUUCAAAAUAAUCACCUUGACAUUUACUGCUUGAAAUACAAUUAUUUUAUAGUUAACAUUUUCGUAUUUUACAAUAUAGUACAUCUUAAUAAAUGAAAAUGGUUUGACCAUCAGACUCUAAUCAAUAUUUAAUCAAUAUACUACUUCUAGUCUGCAUUUAUUAUAGAUUAUAUGGUGAAAGUACUGCUGGCUACUAGAACAAAGUACUAUUAGUUAACAUAUAAGUUUCAUCUUAAUCUAACGUUUAUUGUGUACAGUAGGCUUACACUUCAAAGAA